This 613-nucleotide ribosomal RNA is filed under the name Microbacterium sp. m8-19. RNAcentral's name for it is "bacterial SSU rRNA". It matches the Rfam family "Bacterial small subunit ribosomal RNA", at positions 827 to 1440 of the family's 1533-position model. The record is from RNAcentral. Lineage: Bacteria; Bacillati; Actinomycetota; Actinomycetes; Micrococcales; Microbacteriaceae.
AUUCCACGGAUUCCGUGACGCAGCUAACGCAUUAAGUUCCCCGCCUGGGGAGUACGGCCGCAAGGCUAAAACUCAAAGGAAUUGACGGGGACCCGCACAAGCGGCGGAGCAUGCGGAUUAAUUCGAUGCAACGCGAAGAACCUUACCAAGGCUUGACAUAUACGAGAACGGGCCAGAAAUGGUCAACUCUUUGGACACUCGUAAACAGGUGGUGCAUGGUUGUCGUCAGCUCGUGUCGUGAGAUGUUGGGUUAAGUCCCGCAACGAGCGCAACCCUCGUUCUAUGUUGCCAGCACGUAAUGGUGGGAACUCAUGGGAUACUGCCGGGGUCAACUCGGAGGAAGGUGGGGAUGACGUCAAAUCAUCAUGCCCCUUAUGUCUUGGGCUUCACGCAUGCUACAAUGGCCGGUACAAAGGGCUGCAAUACCGCGAGGUGGAGCGAAUCCCAAAAAGCCGGUCCCAGUUCGGAUUGAGGUCUGCAACUCGACCUCAUGAAGUCGGAGUCGCUAGUAAUCGCAGAUCAGCAACGCUGCGGUGAAUACGUUCCCGGGUCUUGUACACACCGCCCGUCAAGUCAUGAAAGUCGGUAACACCUGAAGCCGGUGGCCUCAACC